ACACAUUUUAGAGCCUAAUUCACCUUAAUUAAAAAUUAAAAUUACAUUCAAAUCCAGAUUCAGAAAUUUUAUAUAAAAAUUCAUCCUUAAAUAAAUUUAUUGUAAUCCAUCUCUCCUUCUAAAAACUGCACCUUGAUCUGAUUUUAAAUUAAAUUAAAUGUAAAAAUUAUAUAUUUCAAAAAAUAAUUUUUAACGACGAUAUACAAGCAAAAUUAAAAGUUUUUUCAAUCGUGAAUUAUCGAUUAAAGGACAGAUUCCCCUGAUAAGAAUAAAAAACCGCCAAAUUAUUUGAUUUUAAAGAACAUAUCUUAUAUUAAUCAAGUAAAAUUUCCACGUCUAGAAUAAUGGGGUAUCUAAUCCCAGUCUAAAACCUAGAUUUCUUAACAUCAUAAACAAUUAAUUAAUUAAAUAAAAAAUAGGAUUUCACCCGAUAAUUCACUAAAAUAAAAAAUAAAUUAUAUUAAUUAAAUAUAACUAAAAAAAAAUAGUAGUAUUUUUUGUGUAACCGCA
This 510-nucleotide ribosomal RNA is filed under the name Tricholapita olympica. Its description in RNAcentral is "Taophila sp. 5 JGZ-2019 partial 12S ribosomal RNA". Lineage: Eukaryota; Metazoa; Arthropoda; Insecta; Coleoptera; Chrysomelidae. The record is from RNAcentral.